Molecule: ribosomal RNA, 744 nt
Filed under: uncultured bacterium
Lineage: Bacteria
Description: bacterial SSU rRNA
Rfam family: Bacterial small subunit ribosomal RNA
Source: RNAcentral
AGAGUUUGAUCAUGGCUCAGAGCGAACGCUGGCGGCAGGCCUAACACAUGCAAGUCGAGCGCCGUAGCAAUACGGAGCGGCAGACGGGUGAGUAACGCGUGGGAACGUGCCCUUCGGUUCGGAAUAACUCAGGGAAACUUGAGCUAAUACCGGAUACGUCCGAGAGGAGAAAGAUUUAUCGCCGAAGGAUCGGCCCGCGUAAGAUUAGCUAGUUGGUGAGGUAAUGGCUCACCAAGGCUCUGAUCUUUAGCUGGUCUGAGAGGACGAUCAGCCACACUGGGACUGAGACACGGCCCAGACUCCUACGGGAGGCAGCAGUGGGGAAUAUUGGACAAUGGGCGCAAGCCUGAUCCAGCCAUGCCGCGUGAGUGAUGAAGGCCUUAGGGUUGUAAAGCUCUUUUGGCAGGGACGAUAAUGACUGUACCUGCAGAAUAAGCCCCGGCCAACUUCGUGCCAGCAGCCGCGGUAAUACGAAGGGGGCUAGCGUUGCUCGGAAUCACUGGGCGUAAAGCGCACGUAGGCGGGUCGUUAAGUCGGGGGGUGAAAUCCUGGAGCUCAACUCCAGAACUGCCUUCGAUACUGGCGAUCUUGGAGUCCGGGAGAGGUGGGUGGAACUGCGAGUGUAGAGGUGAAAUUCGUAGAUAUUCGCAAGAACACCAGUGGCGAAGGCGGCUCACUGGCCCGGUACUGACGCUGAGGUGCGAAAGCGUGGGGAGCAAACAGGAUUAGAUACCCUAGUAGUCC